CUCUGCGAGCGAGCGCCCGCCUGCGCGCCCCGGGGGAGGGAGCGAGGGCUGCGAGCUGCGCGCCCGGCCGGGGAGGGCAGCGUCCUCCCCCGCGCCGGCGCCCGGGCCCCGGCUGCUGUCCCGGGAAGGCGGCCCCGCGAGCCGCCGCGGCCCGCUGGGGCUCGGGACUAGACGAGCCUCCGGCUCCGACAGCGUGCCCGUUCAGAAGCCCGCGCGGCUGGUCCCCAGCCCCGACCGGUCCCGCUCUGCCCCUCCCCGUCCCUGCCGGGCCCGGACCUGCGCCGCCCGCGAGGGCUGGAAGGCACUGGAAGCGCCGCCGGGGCUGCCCAGAGGCCGGGUCCCCGCUCCACUUUGCGCAAACUUGUUUUUCUAAGGUCCUUUGAGAUACAUUAUCUCACUGAAGCCUCAGCAACUCCGCGGUGUUCCCAGAGGUGAGGAAACACACUGAGAGACAGAACACGACUUGACCAGGGCCACCCUGUGGGGCACGCUGGCACCUGCACAGCCCAGCUUCACCUGGUUCCAGCCCUGCCCGCGCUCUGCUCCCCACUUCCCGUAACCCUGGGCUGGCGUCAGCAGGCAGGCCUGCCAGGAGGCUGGAGCUGCCAACGACCUAUUUUUCUGGGCAAGAAGAGCCAUUUGGAGUUAGAGGUCUCAGCUGUGAAGCCAGAACAAUAAAAAUAAAAACAGCACGGACUCCUGGGCAGCCUGGACCAGGGAACCAACUGCCCCAAGAGUUGCUGCUCACCAGGCUGGAAGGCAAGUGGGGUUGGGGGGAUGGGAGAUGGGAGUGACCUUACCGAGCCCCUGCUAUGUCCUCCGGCCCUUACAGAGUAAGGGUAAUCUCCAAGGUUCACAACAGGCCCUUUGUCUGGGUGGCCAGACCAGUCAGGAUUUGAACUCAGUUUUCCAAACAGUAACAAUUCCCAUCUGUUCAGCAGCUACUAUGCUUUACAGACUUGUGACAUUCAUACCACACCUGGGGGGGUGAGCUAAUCAUUCCCUCAUUCUACAGAUGAGGCAGCUGAGACUUCAGGAGGCCUCUGCUCACACGCCACCUCCUUGAGAGGCCUUGCCAGACCACCCUGUUAAAGUAGUCACCCUCACGCCUGCCCAAUAUGCCCUACCCUCUUCCCUAUUUUAUCUUCAUAGCAUGCAUCACGACCUGCUAAUAUUGUGUGUCUCCACUGCAUUUUGUCUGUCUCCCUAACUAGCUCCAGGUCAGUUUAUCCUAGUGGCUUGCACUCCAGCGGUCUCUCAGACUAGCCCCGUGGGGCAAGUUAUUUUGAUGAUCUGUGCUUCCUUCGGGGUAAUGAUAGGACCUUACCUGAAAGGUUUCUUGUGAGGGUUAAAUGAGUUAAUAUCGGUUAAGUGUUGGCCGCUGCCAUUGUUUUGUCCCAGAGCUGUAGCUCCAGGGUCUUUAACAGUAAACAAUAGGUUGUCAAUAAAUAUGUAUUAAAUUUAAAAACUGGGCUGGGCAUGGUGGCUUACACCUGUAAUCCCAGCACUUUGGGAGGCAGAGGUGGGAGGAUUGCUUGAGCCCAGGAGUUCCAGGCUGCAGUGACCUAUGAUUGCUCCACUGCACUCCAGCCUGGGCAACAGAGUGAGAACCUAUCUCUAAAAUAAUAGUAAGUAAAAAUAAUAAAUAAAUGAAGCUCUCUGCCCACGAUCCAAUCUCAGGGUAAGGAAUUGGCACAGCCUGGAUUUGAAGGUGGGUCUCUAUGAACCUGUGCUUCAAUCCAUCCCACUUCAUAAUCGCCUCUCCACAGGCCUCCAUCCAACCACAGCUGCACAGGCAUCAGAGCUUUGGUUCUACAACGUGAGCUGAUACCAAUAGCCCCUGGAGGGAUUGUUAAAACACUGAUUCCAGGGCCCUAGCCAUGGAGUGUCUGAUUCAGUAGGCCUUAGGUAAGGUCUGAAAAUCUGCAUUUCUAACAAGGUCCCAGGUGAUACUGACGCUACUGAUUCAGGGAUCACACUUUGAGAACCGCUGAAUAGACUGCCAUUCAAGCCAAGGUGAGACUCCUUUGUAAGCCUGGCCCCAGUUUCCGUGUUGGUUAGUCUGUCCAUCCCUGUGGUUUCUGUCCUCCCCUUAGGGCGAAGGCAGAGGGCAGGACAGCGCUUGCUGUAGAGACUGUAGCCAGUGCUCUGAUGCCUAGGGGCUGUGACAGAUCACUGAACCCAGGGGAGCUUUGCUGUAAUUAGUGCUUUCCUGGGGAAGUCAGUGAUUGAGCAACUCGGCAGGCAGGCAGGCAGCUCAUAGGAGCCCAUAAGGGGUGGGACCACACUGUCGGGCCCUAAACACUGUUCUCAGGCUCUGGGGAUCUAGCUCCACCCAGAGCUGAGCCCUCCCCAACACCUCUGGGUGGGUGUACUGGUGGUGUUGCAGGGGCAGAGAGCUGAUUGCCUCAGCCAUCACGGAGAGACCUGGGUUUGAGUGCUGACUGCCUAAUAGUACUAAUCACAGGUAAACAUAGGAGUGUGUGUUAAGCCCCAGGCCUGAAGGGUUUCAGCACAUUAUCUCAUGAUGCCUCCCUGUGAUUAUCUUACGUGGACACAAUUCUUAUCCCCAUUUCACAGAUGAGAAAACUGAGGCACAGAGAACUUAAGGAGCUUGUCCAAGAGCCCACACCUUGAGAGCUCCAGAGCCAGGCUUUGAAUCCAGGAGCUCUCAUUCCCUAUCCCCUGCUCCCGACCUCUGCACAUUCUGACUUCUACUUGCUUAGGAUGAGCUUGGGAUGCCCCACAGUGCCCUCUCUGGGUUUCCAUCACUACUGAGGUGUUGGCUUGAUGAUUUCCAGGUCCUGAUGGUUUCCACGUCCUUCUCAGGUGCCCAGCACCAGACCUGCUAAAAGGUCUUAGACACACAAGGAUCUGGUGGAUGAAAUAAGGAAUGAACAGAUGACCCUAACUCCAGUUCUGAUGGGACAGUGUAGCUCAGUGGCUAAGAGAUAUGCAUGCAAUUCCAGGCGCUGCCCCUCACUAUGUGUGUGAUCUCGAGUGGGUCUCAGCCUCAGUUUUCUCAUCUGAAAAUAGGUGAGGGCAGGAUUAAUGCAUAAAGAGGAGAGCGAGAGACAGAGACGAGAGAGAGAGACAGAGAAAAUAUGCACCAACGCAUGGCAGCUGAGAAUGAUGUUUGUUGCCUGCUCCAUCUCAGUCUGUUCGUGCAGUUCCUCAGGCAAAAUACCUUGGUGCCCUCCUUGACUUAUCUCUUUCUCUUCCUUCCCUGCCAGCCAAUCCUCUUGGCUCUACCUUCAAAAUAAACCCAGAAUCCAACCACUCCUUCCCACCUGCAUCACACUCCGGUCCCAGUACCUUCAUUUCUCACCUGGAUUAGUGCAGUCACUUCCUCACUGGCUCCGUACUUCCUGGACUCCCCACCUUGUUGCUUCUUCAAUAAAAGCCUCCCAAUGGCCUUCCACUCCUUCUCUUGGAGUAAAACCUGAAGUUCUCAGUGCAGCUCAAAAGGCCCCCUGUGAUCCCCUGCUUCACUGACCCGGUCUCCCCACACUCUCCCCCUUGCUCACUCCACUCCAGUUAAUUCACCAUCUCAGUAUUCCUUGAACAUGCCCAGCAGGUGCCUACCUCAGGGCCUUUGCACGGGCUGUUCCCUGUGCCAAGAACCCUCUUCCCCAGCUAGCUGCCUAGUUUGCCCCUGACUCUUCCUUAGGGUCUAUGCUCAAAUAUCACCUCUGCAGAGAAGCAUGUCCUGACCACUCAGCUAAAACUGUCCCAUCACUUCCUAUUCCCUACUCCACUUUAUUUUUUGAUAGCAUUUCCAUUUCUUGACAGCAUAUCAAUGUUAUACAUUUGAUUGGUUGCGUGGCUCUCCUACUGAUCUUUGAGCUCCAUGUGAGCUCUUUGCCUUUGUUCCCUAGCACCUGGAGCUGAGCCCACACAGAGUAGGGCCUCAGGCAGAAACUACUGAUAGAGUGAAAGAAGGAGCAGGAAGCAGGAAACAGGAAGCAGGAUGCAGCUCUGUCCAUGAGGGCACUGGCAGCUGGAUCCAGGGGCUCAGGCUCCGCCACCCGAGGGCCUGGCUUGGCUUGGGUUUCCUGAAGGAACAGGUGUCCUCGUUGGACUCCCCCGGCUGCUUUCCUGGGCAGGGAAGCCAAGACUCUAGUUGGCCUCAUUCCUGUACCCGAGAAAGGAAGUGUCCAUCCCUGGGCAGGAACUGGUUUGGCUCUCAGGGAAAGCCUAAACAACACAUACCACUGUCUUUGCUGCUGCAGCUUCCGAUUGGGACCAUGCCCUCUGGGUAGCAGUUGGCCACACCAGCCUUCAUGCUGCCACUGCUGCUGGAGCAAGGAGGGAAGUGGAUUGGGAAGUCUCCCAGAGCCCUUUGGACUGUAUCUGAUGGGAGCCUCAUAGCCGUGCCAUACCUAUUGUACAGAUGAGUAAACAGAGGCUCUACCUGACCAACAUAUUGACUUAGUGGCACAGAAAGGCCAUAAACCCAGAUCUUUUGAUAGCAAAUCCCUUAGUCCCCCUCCUUACUCCCAACUCACACCCUGCUGCCCCAACGCCUACAACCCUGGCUGGUUCAUACUUGAAAUUCCACCAUUAUAGUUUUCUUUCUCACUGUGUCUCAUUCCCUCUUCAGCAAAAAAGGUGGUAACUAUCCCCAUGAAUCUCUGGGAAUAGAUGAGGAGACUGAGGCGCAGAAAGGGAAAUGGGUGGCCUGAGCUCUCACGGCCUGUAGGCAUGACAGGCCAAGUUAGAAAAUGUUAGUCUGUUUUUCCUCUUUAUGUUUCUUCUCUUCAGCUUCAAGCAAAUAGUUGGGCUUAGUAAACAGGCACUGCAGGGAUUUAGGCAGAAAAAUGAACUCCCCUUAGUCUUUAGUAAAGUCUAAAACCAAAGAGAUUCCCAGGAAAGACUGGGAGAGAUUGGGGGCAAGCACACUGGAGAAGCUGGAGGGGGUCAGGCUGACAGGGGGUGCUGCCCCCACGCCAGCAGGAUUGGGGAGGGGACAAGGCCUCCAGGGCAGGCCUCACGGUGGCUCCAGGUAGCCAUAACUGUGUCUCAAGACCUCUGCCCUCAUGGAAGACCCCACAGCCCCACAGGGUGACUGAGAUGGGUGUCCCUUAGGGUGGGACAAUGGGCACGGCCUCCAUCAGCCAACAGAUAUUUAUUGAGCAUCUACUAUGGCCAGGGGCUCAGCUGGAUGCUGGAAAUGAGAUAGUCACAGUUCCUGCACUCAAGGCAUUCACAUUCUAGUGGAGGAGAUGGAAAGAUAAAUGUAUGAAUUAGGGGGGAGGGGAUGCUAUUCUAUGCAGUGGAGGUCUCACUCAGGGAGUGGAGUUUCCUAAGGAAAGUAUGAAGGAGAGCCAUAGGAACACCAGGUGAAAGGAAUGGCCAGUGCAAAGACCCCGGGAAGACCCUGGGAUGACAAGUUCAAGGGCAGCUGGGCAGCCAGGCAACGGGAAACUAGCCAGGAGUGAGGCGGGAGAUGAGGUUAGAGAGGAAGCAGGGUCCAGUCUGUUGGGCCGUGCAGGCCAAGGUGAGGCCUUCAGCUUUUACUCAGAACCAGAUGGGAGCCACUGCGGGAUUAGGAGCCGAGGAGCUGCAGGCAAGCAGUGUGGACAGAUUCCUGGAAGCCACCUCAAAUGUCCAGAGACUCUCUAAGACCCUGCAUCUGAGCAGGCUCUGGAGAGGAGAGAGCCCCAAGAAUGACCAAGGUUGGGCUUGCUUCACGUCACCCCCAUGGGAUACAUUCACAGACCAGAUGAGUUUAAGUAAUUUGAGGCUUCUCAAACUUUAUUCUUGCUAAAUGCAGAUUCUGACUUAGUAGGUUUGUAGCGGGGCCAAGAUUCUGCAUUUCUGAUAAACUUCCAGGUGAGGUUGAAGCUGCUGGUCCCUGGACUGCACUCUGAGCAGUGAAGAUUUAAAGGAAAGAAAUGGCCACAUCUGGCCCAACUGUGCCUGUGGUUUGAGAAUCAUACCUGCUGCUUGGCUUCAAGGCCGUCAUUCAGGGCUCUUGACAAAUCGUGCAGCCCCUCCACUCAGCCUGUUGCCCCCAAAAACCAAAUGGGUCUUUCCCCAGCUCCAUGCUUCCUGUAUGACAUAGGAGUGGUCAGGGUGGGCAGUGGGCUCCGGAGCCAGCUUACUUGGGUCCAGAUUCCAGCCGUGGCAGCUACAGGUGGCAAGACUGUGGGGAAAUGAUUUUAUUUGUCUUGCCAUUUAGUUUCUCAUCUGCAAAAUGGAAAACUCAUGACAGCUUCUUUACAGAGCUAUUUGAAGAUUCAAAGGCAUAAUAUAUAUCAAAAGUCUGGCACACAGGAGGGACUUCAUAAAUGUUAUAUCACUUUCCCUUCAGUUUCACCUGUCCUUUAAAGUAGUGAUCUAUGUACCUUUAUCUCAUUUUUCAAAUUUUUCUAUUUUGUGUAUGUGUUCUAUGAAGUACAUAACAAAGAAAUAUACAAAAAUUUGUAAAAAGUAUCAAAUGUACAUACAUUGAGGAAUACAUGUUUUAAAUGUUUUUACUGAUAGGGAAUAUGAUACAAAAAAUUUUGAAGACCACUGUUUUGAAGCCCAGUGGAAUUGAUAGAAAUAGACUCUCAGGGCUGGAAUAGAUUUUAAAGGCCUUCAAUUCCCCUGGCACCCACUCUCCCAUCUGAUGCCCAAAACCCUUGGUUGCACUAGAUUGCCUCCAGGGGUGGGGAGCUCACUACCUUUCCAGGCAAUCCAUUUUGUACAGCUCUGGGAAUGGUUUCCUGAACCCAGUGCCUAUCUGUAUUCUAGCUGCCUCUGAGUUCCCGGGGGCUGACUGAACUGCUCCUCCCCUUACUCCACUGUGUCAGAGCCCUGGGAUCUCCCAGGGGCCCAGUGCCAGGUUGUGUGCAGAGUGGGCCUAAAUAAUGUCCCAUGAAUGAGAGGGAGUGGGAGAUGGGGAUGAGAAGGGGGAUUCUGACAACUCUCAUUUGGAGGUAUGUUAACAGCUGAGUGCUGUUGUCCCCCUGGGAGUGUGUUGAUCUGUGUAACUCUGGAUCCGUAUCUAUUCGUUUGGAUUUAUUUGCAUGGGUUUGUACAUUUGAGUGUGUAUGCAUGCAUUGUGUGUUUUGCUGUGUGGCUAUAUAUGAGUGUGUGUGUAUGUCUAUGUUGCACCGCAAAUAUCCACGUGUGCUGUGCAUGUCUUUCUCUGUUUUUCUGCAUGCCUGCGUGUCCAGGUGUAUGUCACUGUGGGGUUGUGUGUCUGUCUCUGGUUUGUUUGCAUGUGUGUGAGUGCUGUACGCAUGUGGGCGUGUGCUGUUUGCACUGUCUGUGUGUGCGUGCACAUCUCUGUUUCUUUGUGUGUCUGUGUGCCUGGGGCCCUCCUUUGUGUGUCUCUGUGUGUGUGUCUGAAUCUGCAGGAGUGCGUUUCCCUUCCCUGCUCAGCCCUUUCAGGGAGCUGAGGUGAUUCGCUGCAGCCUGGUCGACUUAAGGCCGUCCGACUGGCAGGCAGCAUGGCUUCCACACCCUCCUCUCUGUUCUGCUGUGCUAAUCACUGGGUUAUAUGUAGAUGGCAAAUGUGUGGCUGCCAGGCUUGGAGGAGGGACUGUGGAGGGGGGUGUGCAGAUGAGCAGACACCAAAGAGUGAAAAGACAAUUUAAAGGCAGAAAGGGGGAAAACAAGCCUGCUUGGCUUUGGAGUUACGGGUGUGGGGUUCUUCCCAGAGGCGUGAAUUUUAUUAAGGGGAUGUGAUGACUACGAUGUCUUCCUUCCCCUAAUCAAGUAAGAGUCUUAGAAUCACAGGAUUCUAAAAUCUUGGAAUUGUCGAACUAUAGAAUUCUAGAAUCUCAGCCGAAUGCAACUCUAGACGCGUAGAACCUCUUCAAGGACCCUAAUCCUCCUGGGAUUUUAGCAUCUUCACAUGCACAUGCAGUUCUUCUUGUCCCCCUUCUCUUUGUAUAGAAUCAUGGCCAGAAAAUGACCUUGAAAGUUCAUCCAGUCCACCCCACCCUGGCUCCGGGCAGGGCAGUGGAGACAGAGGUCCAGCCAGUGAGGACAUUCUUGGAAGUGUUGCACUGGAAUCUUCCCUGGCUCUCUUGCUGGACAAGGACUUGUUGCCUGAAGGGUCUGGGGUCUCAUAUUACUCUCCCCACCGCCACCUGCCACAGGGACUGAGUUCCUGGCGAAGACAAAGGCACCUAUGUUCCUAGGAUAUGUUCUUAGCAGUUCAGGAGCUGACACAGGCUGCAGGUGUGGGGAGAGUAAAGGGGCAGGGCUCUGUUUCUCUGAGAUCCUCCCUCGGUGGAGUCUCAGUAACCUAGCCUGGGGUGGGGGUGGGUAGCUAACCAGGCAACCACACUCAUGCCCCAGGAUAUUCAGUGGGGUGUCUUCUUCCUCUUAUUGCUUCCUCUUACUGCUUAAAAGAGUAGACUAUAUCCGGUCGGGCACGGUGGCUCACGCCUGUAAUCCCAGCACUUUGGGAGGCCCAAGUGGGUGGAUCACCUGAGGUCAGGAGUUCAAGACCAGCCUGGCCAACAUGGUGAAACCCUGUCUCUACUAAAAAUACAAAAAUUAGCUGGGCUUGGUGGCGCAUACCUGUAAUCCUAUAAUCCCAGCUAAUCAGGAGGCUGAGGCAGGAGAAUCGCUUGAACCCGGGAGGCAGAGGUUGCAGUGAGCCAAGAUCACGCUAUUGCACUCCAGCCUGGGGGACAAGAGCGAGACUUCAUCUCAAAAAAAAAAAAAAAAAAAAAAGAGAGUAGACUGUGUCCUAUCUCAGGAAUCCUGGGAGCCAUGGACUAUCCCUGAGGGAGGGCAUUGCACUGUACUUUGAAACCCUCCAGGACUCACCUAUACUCUUUAAUGUGGCAGCUUUUCAGGCUCUGGCUACUAGCCAUCCCAUCCCUCCCUCCCUCCCUCCCUUGCUCCCUGCCUCACUCCCUCCCUUUCACACAUGUCCAGCCGCAGUGAACUCCCUAUUCACCUUGAAGCUACUUGACUUCAUGCCUCUGAAUGUUUGCACAGGCUCGCUCUCUUCUUUAUCUCUUCUUCUUGGUGCAAACCUUGUUCAUCCUUGGAAUACAAGCUCUCACUCAAUUGUAAGCACCAUGAGAGAGUUUGGUUUAUUUAAUACUUUAUUUCCCUGAAUCUACAACAUUUGGCACACAUUAGGUAUUGAACCAAUGUUUGUUAAAUGACUGACUGAAUGUACAGUUCAAAGUCAGCUCAUUUCCACUCUGAAGCCUCAAUUCUCCAACCCCUUCUAGAUAUUUCCCUGGGGCCCGCACCACGCCCGAGAUUACCUGUGGUUGUGAGCCCUUGCUUACUUCUUCAGCGGACAGGGAACCUCUUGAAGCUGGAGUCGUGUCUGGUUAAUCUUUUUACACGUAGCAUCCAGUUCAGGGCCUGGUACCCAGCAGGUGCCCAGCAAAUGUGGGGCCCUUGCCAGCAGCCUGGCUUGGUGACUUGAAAUCCCCUGUUGGUCCCAACUGCAUGCACCGGUCCAAGCUGUUGGCAACAUCUGCCUCAGAGUCUCAUUUGCAAUUAUACAUUCUCAGGCUCUUGCCACUUAAUAUUUAAUAACCAGGCGGGUGGCCUUCUCUGGCAGCCAGUUAAGUCCCUGAUUGCCUCUUGUCUGAACUUGGCCCCAAGUGAGGCAGGGACUGCUUUGGGGUUAAGUGUAAAGUCUGUGUCCUGAGUUGGGGGCUAGCAUAAGGCCAGACCGUUGGAGAUGGAGGAAGGAACGGCUGCUGGCUCAAGGCUUCUGGGUGACCUUACCAGGCAAGAGGCAGGUUGGGUAUUUGCUCCAACUGGUUCCACCUCUCCUCCCCUUCCAUGUAGGUCGACGCCCGCUCCUGGCCUCAUAACAGGGGAGGAGGAAGGGAGGAAAUUUGUUAAUGAGAGGGUCCCUGACUCACAUCUGAUUGGUCCAGGAGAAAGAAAGGGGGAUUCCGCCUGGGCUGUGUCCCAGCAGGAAAGGUGGUUCUAUCCUGUGUGGUUUGGCCACCAGGAGCCAGGGCAGUCCCUGUGAGGGCCUAUGGCGCCACGGAGUGGGGCUCUGGCAGCCGUGCCAGCCUCUCCUGGCACAAGGCUGGGGAAUCCUUCCAAGUUGGCUGUGGAAGGAGAUGAGGCAAAUGGUGAUGACCUGACCCUAGGGGUAACCCAAGCUGCUGCCGAGCUCUGUGAAACCCUGCAGGCCCAGGGAGGCGUGGGUCAGUUCUAAAGGCUGACCUCUGCAGAACUGCUGGGGUGAGAGGGCGCAGAGAGGCCAAGUGACAUCCAAAGGUCAUGGGAGGCUCCAGGAAGGGGAACAGCAAGCACAAAGGCUCUGAGGCUGGACUCUGCUACCGAAGCCCGAGGUCCAGAGAAGGACUCACACCUGGGAAUCUCAGACUUUAGAUCCCAGAGGACAUUUUACAGGGUCAAGAGAUCCCACUCUGCCCCUAACAAGCCCAGUGACCUGGGACAAGUCACCCUGGUGUUUAUGCUGUCACCGCACAUGUUGGGCAACAUGACUGCCUGAACCCUUCCUGCGUGGAGUCCUCUGUUAUCCCCUCAGAGGUCAUUUGGUGCAAUCCAGGAAUCUGAGACCAGAAAUGCCGCUCUGUUGAUCAACAGGGCUGGUUCCUGUAGAAGGUGGUGCUUAGUGUAGAACACUAUGCUUUCCCAAUGGGCAGUGUUUACCAGCACUUACUGUAUGCAAGGGGCCACGCUCAAUAAACCCUCUGCUAACAUACAUGGUCUCAAUCACCUGUGCCAUCCUUGUCCCUUCCCUUUCCCUCUCCUGCUCAUCAUCCUCAGAUCCUGUGACAGUAUCUUUAAAACCCAGCCCAGCCCUGGUCCACUGUCUCGUCCCACAUUCCCCUGCACUACCUUCUUAGACCACAGCUGCUGUCAUGCCCAUGGCUGUACCAGCCUCUUUUCAGCUCCCCUGCACCACCCUGGCCUCUGCAAUCCAUCCCCUACCAGCAGCCAGGAGGCCUUUGAACCAUCAAAAUCAGAUCACAUCCCUCCCCUGCUCUGAACCUCCAGGGACUGCCAUGGUGCUUCCAGUCAAAAUGAAUCCUGCAGCCAUGCUGCUCUACGUGGCCAGUCCCCACUCUUCUCCAUCCUGAGGUUGUCCAUCUUUGCUGCCCACUCUGCUUCAGCCACACUGGCCUCCUUCCUCUCCUCAAACGUGUCCCUUGAGGCCAACCUGGGGCCCUUCAAGGCUGUUGAUGUCACCUGCGCCUUAGUUCAAAUGCCUCCCCCCAGAGUAUCCUUCCUUCAUUCUCUAAAAGACCGCUCCUCCUUACAUCUGGCCCCUUGUUAUCCCAUUUCCAAGUUUUAUAGCACUUAUCACUUUCUCAUAUUUCUCUUAUUUAUUUAUGUGCACCCUCCCCCACCUGGAAUGCAAAUUUCGUCAGAACAAGACUUAGUCCCUGUUGUUCCCUGCUGGUUCCCAGUGCCUAGAAGGCACCAGCACGUGGCAGGGACUCCAUGGGAUUUGUCAGAGGAGGGAUGACAUGGCCUCGAGGGAUGAGUGUAAUAGUAGUAUCCCAUUUAAUAGGAAGCCCAGCAAUGCUAGGUGCCUGUGCAACUUACCAAACUUGUGAAGGGUGGAGUCGGGAUUCAAACCCCCAUCCAGGGGGCUCCAGCAUCUAUGCUUUUGUUCAGGAGGCUGCAUGCUGUGGUCAUGGUCAGAGCCCCUGAGCCCCAGGGACUCAGAGGUCAAUUAGGGGUGGGGGAGGGGGAGGCACUGGUGCUGGUGGUGCCUGGGAUGUACUUUUCGAUUUUGCCCCCAGCUGGGGCCCUACCUUAAGGUUAGGGUUCUGGAACGAGGGGCAGCCUCACCCAUACCCCUCUGCCCAAAGGCUACCCCUGUAGCUCCUGUUGAGGCUGCUGGGCCCCCUGGAAGUCCCUGGCUUAGCUGUGGGUCAGUGAGCUCAUCCCCUGCCCACCCUACGGCUUUCCAACGCUCCCUCCCUCUGCCGCAGUCGUUGCUACACAAGUUAAUGGAAUAACAAGACACUUUACCUAUUAUCUGAUGCAAAUACCUUUCCUCGCCAGCACCAGCUGUACAGCUCAGAUCUUCCUGUAACCCAGCAAACAGGCCUUCAGCUCCAGGCUCCAGCUGAAGAGGCCUGAGCACCAGCCAGGCACUGACAACCCCCUAGCUCGAGCCCUGGAAGGAGGGGUCAGGGGUGUUGUGCUGAUGGGGUUGUGGCACCAAUCUUAGUACUUUUCACCGGCGACCGUACAGUGAGGCCCACUGUGCACAGGUAGUUUGCAUAUUUCACCUUCACGUGAUUACAUACAAUUCUGAUCCUCACUAGGCAGAUGUGAGGAUGAAAGGCUCAGGCAAGUCUGUGUAGCGCUCAAGUGGUGGAUCCAGGUGGGUUUCACACCCACAUCCUAAAACUUGACCCCUCUCCUAUCCACUUCCUAAGGGCUUUGUCUGAGUGGCUCCAUUUAGACCCGAUUUCUCUAAUAGCUCCAUAGUAGGAGUUCUACUUAUAGACAAAGAAGACGAAGGGGGUAGCACCUUGCUCAGCCACACCAGGGUAAGUAGGACUGUAUGCCCAGGAAGGUGGAUGUGUGUAGGGGGGUGCAGUUGGGUCAGGAGAGUUCCCAAAGCUUGCCCCUUGGGAAGCUCUGUCCUGGGACCCCCGCACCACCAAAACACACCUGGCCUAGUUCAUAUUCAGUGCUGCAGGCAUGUACAGGGCAUGUACGCAGGCAUGUACAGGGCACCUAGCAGGUGCUGGGAUCACCCAGAUGGAAGGUGGACCUCCUCCAAACAACUACAUGAAUCUCACAGGAUGGCAGGACAGACUUAAGCUCCCUGUGCCUCAGUUUUCUCAUCUCUAAAAUGGGGAAGAUAAUACUGUUACUUCUUCUGUAGAGUUGUGCUAAGGAUGAAAUGAGAAUGAAGCACUUAAAAGAGGACCGAGCACAUACUCAGUGACCAAUCAACAGCCGUUUUUAUUGUCACCUCCAGAUCCCACAUAGGCAGCUCUUCUCGAGGUCUAUCGUCCUGACAAAUAAAGCGCUAGUUCUGUCUAGGUCAGAAUUGCCUCUAAGCCAGUGGUUCUUAAACUCCAGUGUGCGCUUCAGAAUCCAGUAGCAUCAUGUGAAAAAUGUAGCCACAGCAGGUCUGAAUGGGCUUUCUAGGAAGCUGCCUGCAUCCCAUUCUGACACAGGUGGUUUGCAGCAGGGCUCAGACCCAUUGCUCUGGGGGGCACCAAUGAGACUUUGUCAUGGGAACGUGACUCCUGGUGACCAGCCCCUCCUCAUCGCCAUCAAGGGAGGUUUAGGAUGUAGCAUAGUGGUCAAGGCCUUGCCAGGAGACCUGGGUUCAAAUCCCGGCUUCCCUCUUCUGGGCAAAUGGCUUCCCUCAUUUCCUUUUCUGAGACACAGAGGUUCCACAGUUCCCAUCUCCCUGUCUGAGGGUUGGAUGAAUGCCUAUCCAGAGUGGGCCUGAGACAUGUUGCACACCCAGCAAGCAGGAGUGGCUGCCACCUUCGCCCCGCAGCAGUUUGUCUUCUGAGGCUUCUGUCCCUGAGUGUUUUAUUUUCUGUUGAUAGAUUCCAGCUCAUGUUCAUGGGUCUGCACCUGCAUACAAAUGCCAAGAGGACUGGCCCACCCCCGGGAUCUGUCCUCACCCGCUCCUCACCAAGCACCCGGCUGCAAGUUCCCAGCAGGGCUCGGAAGUCCCGGGGCCUCCUGUGAAGCUGGGACCACCAUGCUGGUCCAGCCUCCUUGGUUGUGGUCGUGGCCGGAAGCAGCCAGACUGCUGGCCCCUUUGAGAGCGGGUGUCUCUGUGAGAGAGUGACUGCUGGGAGGUCUUCAGGGAACUUGGGCGCCGCUGGGACAAUUGGUCGCUGUUUGGGGGAGUGAGGUUGGCAGGCCCUUGGCCCUCGGCACUGAGCCUCUGCCAGGCCCCUGCCAAGCCUGGGGCUGGUUUCCCACUGCCUGCUAGUUUCAGGGCCAUUUGGGGAGGGGGCCCAGGGGAAUUCAUUGCCCCUCUCUUCAGCGUCUUUGCUGUGGUCCAGGAAGCCCGGGCAGUGUCUGCUCUCAGACAGCAGGUCAGCACAGCCUCAGACAUGUUCUGAUGAUGCCCGCUGUGUACCAGGCUAGGGGCGGGAUACUUAGAACCAGCCUCCCA
Molecule: long non-coding RNA, 14071 nt
Filed under: Homo sapiens (human)
Lineage: Eukaryota; Metazoa; Chordata; Mammalia; Primates; Hominidae
Description: non-protein coding lnc-PDYN-1:9
Rfam family: Metazoan signal recognition particle RNA (bases 1473-1620)
Source: RNAcentral